This 216-nucleotide ribosomal RNA is filed under the name uncultured bacterium. RNAcentral describes it as "partial 16S ribosomal RNA". It matches the Rfam family "Bacterial small subunit ribosomal RNA", at positions 524 to 740 of the family's 1533-position model. The record is from RNAcentral.
UACGAAGGGGGCUAGCGUUGUUCGGAAUACUGGGCGUAAAGCGCGCGCAGGCGGUCCUUCAAGUCAGAGGUGAAAGCCCAGAGCUCAACUCUGGAAUGGCCUUUGAGACUAGAGGACUUGGGUACGGGAGAGGUGAGUGGAAUUCCGAGUGUAGAGGUGAAAUUCGUAGAUAUUCGGAAGAACACCAGUGGCGAAGGCGGCUCACUGGCCCGUUAC